This 628-nucleotide ribosomal RNA is filed under the name Bacillus sp. ST1-6. Its description in RNAcentral is "bacterial SSU rRNA". It matches the Rfam family "Bacterial small subunit ribosomal RNA", at positions 95 to 709 of the family's 1533-position model. Lineage: Bacteria; Bacillati; Bacillota; Bacilli; Caryophanales; Bacillaceae. The record is from RNAcentral.
GCGGCGGACGGGUGAGUAACACGUGGGUAACCUGCCUGUAAGACUGGGAUAACUCCGGGAAACCGGAGCUAAUACCGGAUAGUUCCUUGAACCGCAUGGUUCAAGGAUGAAAGACGGUUUCGGCUGUCACUUACAGAUGGACCCGCGGCGCAUUAGCUAGUUGGUGGGGUAAUGGCUCACCAAGGCGACGAUGCGUAGCCGACCUGAGAGGGUGAUCGGCCACACUGGGACUGAGACACGGCCCAGACUCCUACGGGAGGCAGCAGUAGGGAAUCUUCCGCAAUGGACGAAAGUCUGACGGAGCAACGCCGCGUGAGUGAUGAAGGUUUUCGGAUCGUAAAGCUCUGUUGUUAGGGAAGAACAAGUGCGAGAGUAACUGCUCGCACCUUGACGGUACCUAACCAGAAAGCCACGGCUAACUACGUGCCAGCAGCCGCGGUAAUACGUAGGUGGCAAGCGUUGUCCGGAAUUAUUGGGCGUAAAGGGCUCGCAGGCGGUUUCUUAAGUCUGAUGUGAAAGCCCCCGGCUCAACCGGGGAGGGUCAUUGGAAACUGGGAAACUUGAGUGCAGAAGAGGAGAGUGGAAUUCCACGUGUAGCGGUGAAAUGCGUAGAGAUGUGGAGGAACAC